GGGUGCGAUCAUACCAGCGUUAAUGCACAUGAUCCCAUCAAAACUCUGCAGUUAAGUGUGCUUGGUGUUGCACCCU
Picea glauca (white spruce) is the source of this 76-nucleotide non-coding RNA. The record is from Rfam. NCBI's taxonomy places the organism in Eukaryota, Viridiplantae, Streptophyta, Pinopsida, Pinales, Pinaceae.